This 464-nucleotide ribosomal RNA is filed under the name uncultured bacterium. RNAcentral's name for it is "bacterial SSU rRNA". It matches the Rfam family "Bacterial small subunit ribosomal RNA", at positions 338 to 795 of the family's 1533-position model. The record is from RNAcentral.
CCUACGGGCUGCACCAGUGGGGAAUAUUGCACAAUGGGCGCAAGCCUGAUGCAGCCAUGCCGCGUGUAUGAAGAAGGCCUUCGGGUUGUAAAGUACUUUCAGCGGGAGGAAGGUGUUGUGGUUAAUAACCACAGCAAUUGACGUUACCCGCAGAAGAAGCACCGGCUAACUCCGUGCCAGCAGCCGCGGUAAUACGGAGGGUGCAAGCGUUAAUCGGAAUUACUGGGCGUAAAGCGCACGCAGGCGGUCUGUCAAGUCGGAUGUGAAAUCCCCGGGCUCAACCUGGGAACUGCAUUCGAAACUGGCAGGCUAGAGUCUUGUAGAGGGGGGUAGAAUUCCAGGUGUAGCGGUGAAAUGCGUAGAGAUCUGGAGGAAUACCGGUGGCGAAGGCGGCCCCCUGGACAAAGACUGACGCUCAGGUGCGAAAGCGUGGGGAGCAAACAGGAUUAGAUACCCGAGUAGUC